Gasterosteus aculeatus aculeatus (three-spined stickleback) is the source of this 70-nucleotide small nucleolar RNA. The record is from Ensembl. Lineage: Eukaryota; Metazoa; Chordata; Actinopteri; Perciformes; Gasterosteidae.
UUUCUAUGAUGAUAACUUUGUUCAGUUCUGCUACUGAUUGCAAAUGGUGAUAAUACGACACCUGAGUAAG